AGUGAACGCUGGCGGUAUGCCUAACACAUGCAAGUCGAACGGCAGCACAGUAAGCGCUUGCUCUUACGGGUGGCGAGUGGCGGACGGGUGCGGAAUACAUCGGAAUCUACUUUUUCGUGGGGGAUAACGUAGGGAAACUUACGCUAAUACCGCAUACGACCUACGGGUGAAAGCACGGGAUCUUCGGACCUUGCUCGAUUGAAUGAGCCGAUGUCGGAUUAGCUAGUUGGCGGGGUAAAGGCCCACCAAGGCGACGCUCCGUAGCUGGUCUGGGAGGAUGAUAAGCCACACUGGAAGUGAGACACGGGCCAGACUCCUACGGGAGGCAGCAGUGGGGAAUAUUGGACAAUGGGCGCAAGCCUGAUCCAGCCAUACCGCGUGGGUGAAGAAGGCCUUCGGGUUGGAAAGCCCUUGGGUUGGGAAAGAAAAGCAGCAGGUUAAGACCCCGCUGUUCUGACGGUACCCAAAGAAUAAGCACCGGCUAACUUCGUG
RNAcentral lists this ribosomal RNA (492 nucleotides) under uncultured bacterium. RNAcentral describes it as "partial 16S ribosomal RNA". It matches the Rfam family "Bacterial small subunit ribosomal RNA", at positions 29 to 507 of the family's 1533-position model. The record is from RNAcentral.